This 253-nucleotide ribosomal RNA is filed under the name uncultured bacterium. Its description in RNAcentral is "partial 16S ribosomal RNA". It matches the Rfam family "Bacterial small subunit ribosomal RNA", at positions 524 to 776 of the family's 1533-position model. The record is from RNAcentral.
UACGUAGGGCGCAAGCGUUGUCCGGAAUCAUUGGGCGUAAAGAGCGUGUAGGCGGCCCGGUAAGUCUGUUGUGAAAGUCCAGGGCUCAACCCUGGAAUGCCGAUGGAUACUGCCGGGCUAGAGUUCGGAAGAGGCGAGUGGAAUUCCUGGUGUAGCGGUGGAAUGCGCAGAUAUCAGGAGGAACACCUAUAGCGAAGGCAGCUCGCUGGGACGACACUGACGCUGAGACGCGAAAGCGUGGGGAGCGAACAGG